This 70-nucleotide transfer RNA is filed under the name uncultured Eubacterium sp. It matches the Rfam family "tRNA". From Rfam's summary of the family: Transfer RNA (tRNA) molecules are approximately 80 nucleotides in length. Their secondary structure includes four short double-helical elements and three loops (D, anti-codon, and T loops). Further hydrogen bonds mediate the characteristic L-shaped molecular structure. tRNAs have two regions of fundamental functional importance: the anti-codon, which is responsible for specific mRNA codon recognition, and the 3' end, to which the tRNAs corresponding amino acid is attached (by aminoacyl-tRNA synthetases). tRNAs cope with the degeneracy of the genetic code in two manners: having more than one tRNA (with a specific anti-codon) for a particular amino acid; and 'wobble' base-pairing, i.e. permitting non-standard base-pairing at the 3rd anti-codon position. The record is from RNAcentral. Lineage: Bacteria; Bacillati; Bacillota; Clostridia; Eubacteriales; Eubacteriaceae.
CCUGUAGCUCAGCUGGAUAGAGUAGAGGUUUCCGAAGCCUUUGGUCGUGGGUUCAAAUCCCGUCAGGUGC